Molecule: ribosomal RNA, 393 nt
Filed under: uncultured bacterium
Lineage: Bacteria
Description: bacterial SSU rRNA
Rfam family: Bacterial small subunit ribosomal RNA
Source: RNAcentral
AACGAACGCUGGCGGCGCGCCUAAUACAUGCAAGUCGAGCGAGAAGGUGUAGCAAUACACUUGUAAAGCGGCGAACGGGUGAGGAAUGCAUGGGUAACCUACCCUCGAGUGGGGAAUAACUAGCCGAAAGGUUAGCUAAUACCGCAUACGUUUCCGGAACUUCGGUUUCGGAAAGAAAGCAAUACCGUGGGUAUUGCGCUCCUGGAUGGGUUCAUGUCCUAUCAGCUUGUUGGUGAGGUAACGGCUCACCAAGGCUUCGACGGGUAGCUGGUCUGAGAGGACGAUCAGCCACACUGGCACUGCGACACGGGCCAGACUCCUACGGGAGGCAGCAGUAAGGAAUAUUGCGCAAUGGACGAAAGUCUGACGCAGCGACGCCGCGUGGGGAGUGAA